GGUAGAAGGGCAAGUAUUUGCGUAAAGCCACUGAAUGCGUUUUAGAAAUACCUUUGCAGAUAUACUAUUACUGAGAUGCUGUGGCAAUCGAAAGGGCAUUGAAGUAUCAACAGAAAGAAAAACUACCUGCUUAAGAGCAUCUCUUCAUGGCUGGAAAAUGAUAUGAUCUAAGGGUUGAUUUUGGAGUAUGAUAUUAAAAUAAUGGUCAGAGAUGACAUAGAAAGCGGGCUUGUAUUAUUCUUGGAUUUACUUGUAUCUUAGCAAUGUCACCAGGAAAAAGUUAGUAUUUGGAGUGAGCCAUAUAAUCAUGCACACCUGGGAAAAACAAACAAACAAACAAACAAAAUCAUAAAACAAAAACAAAAGAACCUUACCCAACAAGUUAAACAUUCACCUACAACGUCACAAUAAAAGUGGUUUACUUUGCUUUAAUAGCUGGUUUUAAAAUAAAAUUCUGAUGAUGUAAGCGUUGGGACCCCUCCAAAGGCUCUUCACAAACGAGACUCAAUGCUGGCAGAGCAGGCUGUCUAAGACCUGUGACCUCUCUGGCUAGCUUCCUUUUGGCUUGGACUUGAUGCACAGUCUUGUUGCCAUUUGACAGAGCUCUCUCUCGGUAAGACUGGCUCGGGAGGCCCUGAGCAUCUGGCCCAUAGAAAGGAAUCCGUGGGCUGGGACUCCGUAGAAGCUUGGACCCAACAGAGUGAAACUGCUGAACUUCAGCGUUUUCCCCAGUUUGCUUCACUUUAAAGAGCAGCCUCAGCUUGAACAGCUGGGGCUAAAUUGCAGGGCAGAGUGUUUCCGUGAGCUUCGCUGGCUUCCCCAAAUGAGCAUGUGGAAUCUGGCCCCUGUCAGCAGUGCCCAAACACAGCCAUCCUAUGGUGGCUCAGUGAAAUGAGGUUGUUUUCAUUUUCUUCUCUGAAGUCCAUUUCCUGCACAAUCAACUCUCCGCCAACCAGGCUCACACUCUUCUCAUUUGAGCAGGGAGUUUUAAGGCCGGGAGCUCUCUGGAAGAAUUUACUGUCUCCAUGACUUUGGGAAUCUAAGAUUCCUUCACCCGGCUUCAUGAGCCUGGCUGGAAGAUACUGGGACUUAAAGUGAAAGCAUGUUCCAGCGCAGACUUCAGUCUUCUGUAGUUCACCUUCUUUCAUUUGGACUUUUGAUACUUUAAAUCAGGGAUCAUAAAGACUUCAGGCCUGCUUCCAUUUCUUUCUCCUGGUCCAAAGUUUAGAGUUACUUAUUGUCAUUGACUCCUCUCGACUCAUGCUACUUUCAAACUCAGAGUACUUCUUUUUAACAUGCCUAAUCCAGAGAGAGCUCAAGAGCCGAAUCCCCUAGCUCCUCAGUGAAACAGUAGAGCAUGGGGCCCAGGAGACUGAACAGUGGGUCUCGCCUCUGUACUUGGUGAAUGGAGUUAGUGGGUGGACACAACUGUUUCUGACCUAUUUCUGACACUUAAUAGUUAACUACAGAUAUAGCAGUCAACCAGUGCCCUGGACGUGGAGCUCUCCUCAUUUAAAUCCAUCUAGUUAUCUUUUCUAAAUGUACUGGAAUUACUUGUUUGUAUGCAGGACUAAGCCAAUGUGAGUUGUUUUGCAACUGCCUUGCAUGGCAUGCAUCCAGGCUAUGAGCAACACAGUGUGUUUUAUACUUUUCAGCCUUCUGGUUUCCUAGAUUUACGGGAAUUGCUAGGUUGGAGGUGUCUUAAAGUAAAGUUACUGCACAGGAAAUCAGUCUAUCUGUUUGGUUUUUGUUUGUUCUGCCACAAAUGUCUGAAAACAUCUUAGGUUGCUGGAGCUGUAUAUUUACACACACACACACACACACACACACACACACACACACACACACACACACACACGUGAAUACUAGAUAUACUGGUACUAGAGUUGCCAUAGUCACCGAGAUGCAGCCCUGGGUUGAGGAUCUCAUAUAAUCAUGGUGCUUUUAAACUAGUUUAACAAAUUGCUGGUGAAGAUUUUUAUAUGUACACACACAUAUAUAUUUAGAAAAUUGAUUAGAUAAAUGGAAUUAAGAAUUGUUUUUAGUAGCAGACUAUGCAUUUUCUAAAGAAGUGUUACAAAAUCCCCAAAUUUGACUUGCCCAUACAAUAUUUGUAUAGACUGGGCUGUGGUAAGGUCUAUGGGAACAAGUGUCCAGAGUGGCUUCUUCUGCAAGUGUUCCCCAAACACGGCUGUGGCAUCUUGGGGUCCACUAAAACUACAAAACCAUGAUGCCUGUUGUUCUUAGAGACCUAUUAUUUUAUGUAUGCACAUAUAUGUGAACCACAGGCAUAUCUGUCUAUGAUUUUAAGUAGGGAAAGGCUCUUCAUCUCUCAUUGUCUUGGUCAAUGUUGUUAUCAUUUCAAGGAGACAACCCAGGAUUUGUAGUUAUGGCUAUGCAAACACAGCCUGCAGCUUAAAUAAGCGACACUCUUGUUAUAUUUUCUUUCAGGACUUAGUCUAGAGAGGAUGUCCGAAGCAUCUCCCACAGCCUUGUCUAUGGAGCAUCUGUUUCAUUAAGCCUUUGAGCCUCCAUAUGCUCUCCCUGCAGUAAUUCAGGUCUGCAGAAAUCGCUGACUGUCCUCUGUGGAGCAGGCAUGUUGCUCGUACUAGAGCUGCCACAGUCACUGAGAUGCAGCCCCGGGUCAAGGAUCUCACAUAAUCAUGGUGCUUUUAAUCUAGCCUAGCAAAUCACAGGUGAAGACUUAGUAUAUCAGGUCAUACCUUGCAAGAUUUUAUUAAGUUUCUAACAGGGGGUACCAAAAAUCCAACCAAAGAACUUAAUAAAAAAAGCAUUUAUUUUUAUUAUUUAAAACUGUGAUUGUGUGCCUGUGUGCACAUGCUUGUGCAAGUGUGUGUGUGCAUGAUUGUGAGUGUGUGAACAGGAGGAGCCCAUAGGCCUUCAUUACCUUGAGUUGGAGUUAUAAGUGGUUGUGAGCCACCUGAUAGGUAUGCUGGUGACUAAACUUGGGUCACAUGGAAGGGCAGUAAAUGCACUUCUGCUAUCUCUCUUUUUACCCCUGGAACUUUUAAUUUUGUAUUUGAAAUAAUCAGAUUACCAUAUAUACUGCAGGAUUCUCAGUACCAAUCAGCAGGCCAGUGGAGAUACUUAGGACUCAGGGCCCAAUGAUUGCAGCUCUCAAUAUAUUAUGGCUCUCUCUCUCUCUCUCUCUCUCUCUCUCUCUCUCUUUCUCUCUCUCUCUCUAUCACUCUCUCUUCCUUUCUACAAAUCACCAGAACUUCUUAACAAAAAUGAAAAAAGU
This 3262-nucleotide long non-coding RNA is filed under the name Mus musculus (house mouse). RNAcentral's name for it is "long non-coding RNA chr6:8995915-8999177". Lineage: Eukaryota; Metazoa; Chordata; Mammalia; Rodentia; Muridae. The record is from RNAcentral.